GACGAAGGGGGCUAGCGUUGUUCGGAAUUACUGGGCGUAAAGCGUGUGUAGGUGGUUGCCAUAGUCAGGUGUGAAAGCCUUGAGCUCAACUCAAGAAAUGCACUUGAUACUGGGCAGCUAGAGGACCGGAGAGGAUAGUGGAAUUCCCAGUGUAGUGGUGAAAUACGUAGAGAUUGGGAAGAACACCAGUGGCGAAGGCGGCCUGCUGGGCAGUUGCUGACACUGAGGCGCGACAGCGUGGGGAGCAAACAGG
RNAcentral lists this ribosomal RNA (253 nucleotides) under uncultured bacterium. RNAcentral's name for it is "partial 16S ribosomal RNA". It matches the Rfam family "Bacterial small subunit ribosomal RNA", at positions 524 to 776 of the family's 1533-position model. The record is from RNAcentral.